ACGCUGGCGGCGUGCCUAAUACAUGCAAGUCGAGCGAACAGAUAAGGAGCUUGCUCCUUUGACGUUAGCGGCGGACGGGUGAGUAACACGUGGAUAACCUACCUAUAAGACUGGGAUAACUUCGGGAAACCGGAGCUAAUACCGGAUAAGAUUUUGAACCGCAUGGUUCAAUAGUGAAAGACGGCCUUGCUGUCACUUAUAGAUGGAUCCGCGCCGUAUUAGCUAGUUGGUAAGGUAACGGCUUACCAAGGCAACGAUACGUAGCCGACCUGAGAGGGUGAUCGGCCACACUGGAACUGAGACACGGUCCAGACUCCUACGGGAGGCAGCAGUAGGGAAUCUUCCGCAAUGGGCGAAAGCCUGACGGAGCAACGCCGCGUGAGUGAUGAAGGUCUUCGGAUCGUAAAACUCUGUUAUCAGGGAAGAACAAACGUGUAAGUAACUGUGCACGUCUUGACGGUACCUGAUCAGAAAGCCACGGCUAACUACGUGCCAGCAGCCGCGGUAAUACGUAGGUGGCAAGCGUUAUCCGGAAUUAUUGGGCGUAAAGCGCGCGUAGGCGGUUUUUUAAGUCUGAUGUGAAAGCCCACGGCUCAACCGUGGAGGGUCAUUGGAAACUGGAAAACUUGAGUGCAGAAGAGGAAAGUGGAAUUCCAUGUGUAGCGGUGAAAUGCGCAGAGAUAUGGAGGAACACCAGUGGCGAAGGCGACUUUCUGGUCUGUAACUGACGCUGAUGUGCGAAAGCGUGGGGAUCAAACAGGAUUAGAUACCCCUGGUAGUCCACGCCGUAAACGAUGAGUGCUAAGUGUUAGGGGGUUUCCGCCCCCUUAGUGCUGCAGCUAACGCAUUAAGCACUCCGCCUGGGGAGUAC
This 871-nucleotide ribosomal RNA is filed under the name Staphylococcus pasteuri. RNAcentral describes it as "bacterial SSU rRNA". It matches the Rfam family "Bacterial small subunit ribosomal RNA", at positions 33 to 883 of the family's 1533-position model. The record is from RNAcentral. Lineage: Bacteria; Bacillati; Bacillota; Bacilli; Caryophanales; Staphylococcaceae.